Molecule: transfer RNA, 73 nt
Filed under: Apaloderma vittatum (bar-tailed trogon)
Lineage: Eukaryota; Metazoa; Chordata; Aves; Trogoniformes; Trogonidae
Rfam family: tRNA
About the family: Transfer RNA (tRNA) molecules are approximately 80 nucleotides in length. Their secondary structure includes four short double-helical elements and three loops (D, anti-codon, and T loops).
Source: Rfam by way of RNAcentral
GGCCGGUUAGCUCAGUCGGUUGAGCAUGGUGCUGAUAACACCAAGGUCGUGGGCUCCAUUCCUGUUCCAUCCC